GACGAACGCUGGCGGCGUGCCUAACACAUGCAAGUCGAACGGAAAGGCCCUGCUUUUGCGUGGUGCUCGAGUGGCGAACGGGUGAGUAACACGUGAGUAACCUGCCCUUGACGUUGUGAUAUCUUCAGGAAACUGGGGCUAAUGCCGGAGAGGAGCUCCUGCUGCAUGGGGGUCGUUGGAAAGUUUCGGCGGUUGUGGAUCUACUCGCGGCUUAUGAGCUUGUUGGUUGAGUAGUGGCUUACCAAGGCUUUGACGGGUAGCCGGCCUGAGAGGUUGACCGGGGACAUUGGGACUACGAGACGGACCAGACGCGUAUGGUAGGCAAAGGUGGGAAGUCUUACACAAUGGGGGGGAGCCUGUUGCAGCGGCGCCGCGAGCGGAAAGACGGCCUACGGGUGAUGAACCGCUUUCGCCUGUGACGAAGCGUGAGUGACGGUAAUGGGUAAAGAAGCACCGGCUAACUACGUG
Molecule: ribosomal RNA, 468 nt
Filed under: uncultured bacterium
Lineage: Bacteria
Description: partial 16S ribosomal RNA
Rfam family: Bacterial small subunit ribosomal RNA
Source: RNAcentral